This 1390-nucleotide ribosomal RNA is filed under the name uncultured bacterium. Its description in RNAcentral is "bacterial SSU rRNA". It matches the Rfam family "Bacterial small subunit ribosomal RNA", at positions 28 to 1395 of the family's 1533-position model. The record is from RNAcentral.
AUUGAACGCUGGCGGCAUGCCUAACACAUGCAAGUCGAACGGCAGCAUGAGAGAGCUUGCUCUCUUGAUGGCGAGUGGCGGACGGGUGAGUAAGGCAUCGGGACCUGCCCAUGGCGUGGGGGAUAACCCGGGGAAACCCGGACUAAUACCGCAUGUGCCCUACGGGGGAAAGCGGAGGAUCUCUUCGGAGACUUCGCGCGCUUGGAUGGACCGAUGCACGAUUAGCUGGUUGGUGGGGUAAUGGCCUACCAAGGCGACGAUCGUUAGCUGGUCUGAGAGGAUGAUCAGCCACACCGGGACUGAGACACGGCCCGGACUCCUACGGGAGGCAGCAGUGGGGAAUAUUGGACAAUGGGCGAAAGCCUGAUCCAGCAAUGCCGCGUGUGUGAAGAAGGCCUUCGGGUUGUAAAGCACUUUUAUCAGGAACGAAAUACCAUGGGUUAAUACCCUGUGGGGCUGACGGUACCUGAGGAAUAAGCACCGGCUAACUCCGUGCCAGCAGCCGCGGUAAUACGGAGGGUGCAAGCGUUAAUCGGAAUUACUGGGCGUAAAGCGUGCGUAGGCGGUUCGUUAAGUCUGCUGUGAAAGCCCCGGGCUCAACCUGGGAUGUGCCAGUGGAUACUGGCGAGCUAGAGUGUGUCAGAGGAUGGUGGAAUUCCCGGUGUAGCCGGUGAAAUGCGUAGAGAUCGGGGAGGAACAUCAGUGGCGAAGGCGGCCAUCUGGGACAACACUGACGCUGAGGCACGAAAGCGUGGGGAGCAAACAGGAUUAGAUACCCUGGGUAGUCCACGCCCUAAACGAUGCGAACCGGAUGUGCGUCUCAACUCGGAGAUGCGUGUCGAAGCUAACGCCGUUAAGUUCGCCGCCUGGGGAGUACGGUCGCAAGACUGAAACUCAAAGGAAUUGACGGGGGCCCGCACAAGCGGUGGAGUAUGUGGUUUAAUUCGAUGCAACGCGAAGAACCUUACCUGGCCUUGACAUGUCCGGAAUCCUCGAGAGAUCGAGGAGUGCCUUCGGGAAUCGGAACACAGGUGCUGCAUGGCUGUCGUCAGCUCGUGUCGUGAGAUGUUGGGUUAAGUCCCGCAACGAGCGCAACCCUUGUCCUUAGUUGCCAGCACGUAAUGGUGGGAACUCUAAGGAGACUGCCGGUGACAAACCGGAGGAAGGUGGGGAUGACGUCAAGUCCUCAUGGCCCUUACGGCCAGGGCUACACACGUACUACAAUGGCCGGUACAGAGGGUUGCGAAGCCGCGAGGUGGAGCCAAUCCCAGAAAGCCGGUCCCAGUCCGGAUCGCAGUCUGCAACUCGACUGCGUGAAGUCGGAAUCGCUAGUAAUCGCGAAUCAGCUAUGUCGCGGUGAAUACGUUCCCGGGCCUUGUACACACCGCCC